GACGAACGCUGGCGGUGUGCCUAACACAUGCAAGUCGAACGAGGUCCAAGGAAGCUUGCUUCCUGACGACCUAGUGGCGAACGGGUGAGUAACACGUGAGAAACCUGCCUCGGAGUGGGGAAUAACUCGGGGAAACUCGAGCUAAUACCGCAUGUCUUCACAUGAUCGCAUGGUCGAGUGAAGAAAGAAUUUCGCUCUGAGAGGGUCUCGCGGCCUAUCAGCUUGUUGGUGGGGUAACGGCCCACCAAGGCAACGACGGGUAGCUGGUUUGAGAGAACGAUCAGCCACACUGGGACUGAGACACGGCCCAGACUCCUACGGGAGGCAGCAGUGGGGAAUCUUGCGCAAUGGGCGAAAGCCUGACGCAGCAACGCCGCGUGCGGGAUGACGGCCUUCGUGGUUGUAAACCGCUUUCAGCAGGGACGAAAAUGACGGUACCUGCAGAAGAAGCCCCGGCUAACUACGUGCCAGCCGCCGCAGUAA
This 483-nucleotide ribosomal RNA is filed under the name uncultured bacterium. Its description in RNAcentral is "partial 16S ribosomal RNA". It matches the Rfam family "Bacterial small subunit ribosomal RNA", at positions 28 to 523 of the family's 1533-position model. The record is from RNAcentral.